RNAcentral lists this ribosomal RNA (407 nucleotides) under uncultured bacterium. Its description in RNAcentral is "partial 16S ribosomal RNA". It matches the Rfam family "Bacterial small subunit ribosomal RNA", at positions 30 to 526 of the family's 1533-position model. The record is from RNAcentral.
AUUGAACGCUGGCGGCAGGCCUAACACAUGCAAGUCGAGCGGAGCGGCGGACGGGUGAGUAAUGCCUAGGAAUCUGCCUGGUAGUGGGGGAUAACGUCCGGAAACGGGCGCUAAUACCGCAUACUAUCAGAUGAGCCUAGGUCGGAUUAGCUAGUUGGUGGGGUAAAGGCCUACCAAGGCGACGAUCCGUAACUGGUCUGAGAGGAUGAUCAGUCACACUUGAAAGGAGCACCGGUCCCGACCCCCUCCGGAGGGAGGAGGGGGGAAAAUUGGACAAUGGGCGGAAGCCUGAUCCAACCAUGCCGCGUGUGGGAAAAAGGGCUUCGGAUUUGAAAGCACUUUAAGUUGGGAGGCGUUACCAACAGAAUAAGCACCGGCUAACUUCGUGCCAGCAGCCGCGGUAAUAC